UUGUAAUUUGUAGAAGGUGCUUCGGGUGCGACGAUGAUCCAAGUCUUUUGGAACUGGGCGUCAUAGAGGGUGAGAAUCCCGUAUGUGAUCGUUCGUCAACCCCAUGUGAAGCCCUUUCGACGAGUCGAGUUGUUUGGGAAUGCAGCUCUAAAUGGGUGGUAAAUUUCAUCUAAAGCUAAAUAUCUGCCAGAGACCGAUAGCGCACAAGUAGAGUGAUCGAAAGAUGAAAAGAACUUUGAAAAGAGAGUUAAACAGUACGUGAAAUUAUUAAAAGAGAAGCGCUUGCAACCAGUCUCGAUUGCAGAGGUUCAGCCAUUCUUCGGAGCGGUGUACUACUCUGUUUACGGGCCAGCAUCGGUUUCGGCGGUCGGAUAAAGGCUUUGGGAACGUAGCUCCCCUCAGGGAGUGUUAUAGCCCAAGGCAUAAUGCGACCUGUUGAGACCGAGGACCGCGCUUUUGCUAGGAUGCUGGCGUAAUGGUUGCCAGCGACCCGUCUUGAAACACGGACCAAGGAGUCGACCAAUCGCGCGAGUGUUUGGGUGUUAAACCCAAGCGCGCAGUGAAAGCAAACGUAGGUGGGAGCCUCUGGCGCACCAUCGACCGAUCUUGAUGUCUUCGGAUGGAUUUGAGUAUGAGCACGGUCGGUCGGACCCGAAAGAUGGUGAACUAUGCGUGAAUAGAAUGAAGCCAGGGGAAACCCUGGUGGAAGUUCGCAGCGGUUCUGACGUGCAAAUCGAUCGUCAAAUUUGCGCAUAGGGGCGAAAGACGAAUCGAACCAUCUAGUAGCUGGUUCCUGUCGAAGUUUCCCUCAGGAUAGCAGUAACGAAAUCAGUCUCAUGAGAUAGAGCGAACGAUUAGAGGCCUUGGGGCAGAAACUCCCUUAACCUAUUCUCGAACUUCGAAUAUGUGAGAAGUCCUUGUUACUUAAUUGAA
RNAcentral lists this ribosomal RNA (933 nucleotides) under Phaeographis aff. intricans Luecking 28521. RNAcentral's name for it is "LSU rRNA". It matches the Rfam family "Eukaryotic large subunit ribosomal RNA", at positions 143 to 1099 of the family's 3401-position model. The record is from RNAcentral. Lineage: Eukaryota; Fungi; Ascomycota; Lecanoromycetes; Ostropales; Graphidaceae.